AGGACUGAGUUCUCGUUUUCGCCGACCCAAGAAACUUCGCGCUAACCACUCAUGGGAGAAUAUAUGGGUUCCCCCUCGGCUUAGUACUCGUUUCAUAGUUCUUACAGGGCCCACAUACUUCGGGCGUUCCAUUUGGCAUUUGAAUUGCAUGCACACAGAGAUUAGGGGAGACUUGUUGGUGACUUUUUAUACAUAUAGGAUUGCGGCACU
RNAcentral lists this long non-coding RNA (210 nucleotides) under Brachypodium distachyon (stiff brome). RNAcentral's name for it is "long non-coding RNA (BDIS_LNC003368)". Lineage: Eukaryota; Viridiplantae; Streptophyta; Magnoliopsida; Poales; Poaceae. The record is from RNAcentral.